GUCUAUAGCCAUGCCACCUUGAACAAGCCCGAUGUCUGAUCUUGGAAGCUAAGCAGGGUCGGGGCUGGUUAGUACUUGGAUGGGAGACUGCCUCAGAAGAUCGGUGUUAUAGGCA
This 115-nucleotide ribosomal RNA is filed under the name Pteropus alecto (black flying fox). Lineage: Eukaryota; Metazoa; Chordata; Mammalia; Chiroptera; Pteropodidae. The record is from RNAcentral.